RNAcentral lists this ribosomal RNA (180 nucleotides) under uncultured bacterium. RNAcentral's name for it is "partial 16S ribosomal RNA". It matches the Rfam family "Bacterial small subunit ribosomal RNA", at positions 333 to 528 of the family's 1533-position model. The record is from RNAcentral.
AAAAUACGGGAGGCAGCAGUGGGGGAUAUUGCACAAUGGAGGAAACUCUGAUGCAGCGACGCCGCGUGAGUGAAGAAGUAUUUCGGUAUGUAAACCUCUGUUAGCAUCGAAGAAGCGAAAGUGACGGUAGGUGCAGAGAAAGCGCCGGCUAACUACGUGCCAGCAGCCGCGGUAAUUUUU